This 165-nucleotide ribosomal RNA is filed under the name uncultured bacterium. Its description in RNAcentral is "partial 16S ribosomal RNA". It matches the Rfam family "Bacterial small subunit ribosomal RNA", at positions 355 to 509 of the family's 1533-position model. The record is from RNAcentral.
UGGGGAAUUUUGGACAAUGGGGGCAACCCUGAUCCAGCCAUUCCGCGUGAGUGAAGAAGGCCUUCGGGUUGGUUAAAGACUCUUUCGGCAGGAACGAAACGGCGAGCUCUAACAUAGCUCGCUAAUGACGGUACCUGAAGAAGAAGCACCGGCUAACUACGUGCC